This 217-nucleotide ribosomal RNA is filed under the name uncultured bacterium. RNAcentral's name for it is "partial 16S ribosomal RNA". It matches the Rfam family "Bacterial small subunit ribosomal RNA", at positions 1284 to 1500 of the family's 1533-position model. The record is from RNAcentral.
AAUCUCAGUUCAGACUGCAGGCUGCAACUCGCCUGCACGAAGUCGGAAUUGCUAGUAAUCGUAGGUCAGCAUACUACGGCGAAUACGUUCCCGGGCCUUGUACACACCGCCCGUCAAACCAUGAGAGUUGGCAACACCCGAAGUCGGUAGUCUAACCGCAAGGAGGACGCCGCCGAAGGUGGGGUUGAUGAUUAGGGUUAAGUCGUAACAAGGUACC